This is an RNA transcript of Populus euphratica (Euphrates poplar), 2012 nucleotides long. It is a transcript of the gene named ethylene-responsive transcription factor RAP2-4-like, with no coding region annotated. The record is from RefSeq and is a predicted model, not a curated record. NCBI's taxonomy places the organism in Eukaryota, Viridiplantae, Streptophyta, Magnoliopsida, Malpighiales, Salicaceae. The transcript has a single exon.
GGGUUAUAUAAGGAGAGAUAGGGAGAGACCAAGAAACACACCACAAAAGAAGACCCCCAAAAAGGAUAGAGUGCUGAAAAUCUAGAAUUUCUAGCGGCUUAAUUUUUGAUAAAAUCUUUCUUCUUGAACUCAACCCCCCCCCUAAUUCCCCGCUUCUCUGUAUCCCUUUCUGUUAAUCGUCUGCCUUUCAAAGAAUCUAAUUUGGGGUUUGUUUCUUUGGUUUAGUGAUUUUAAAGCUGAAAUCUUUGUUUAAAAAAAGGAAAACAAGCAAUUCCCUGCAAAGGGUGAAAGCCAGGUGAUUCAGAAUAGAGAUCCAGGUUGAUUUUCAUUUCUUCUACCUUCCUUUGCUUUGCUUUUGUAAUUUCAUCAACUUGAAGGGUUUGUUUUUGGUCCCUCAAGGUUGGUUUUUGUGCAAAAAAACCUCUUCUUUUAUCUGGGUUUUUUUUUUCUCCUCUUCCUUUCGUUUGUAAAACUUUCGUAAUUUUGCCACCUCUUUAGUUUUGUUUCAAGUUCUAAUUAACAGGAAUGGCAGCAGCUAUCGAUAUCUACAACACAACAGUGCCAGUUUUUUCAGAUCCUUGUAGAGAAGAACUCAUGAAAGCACUUGAACCUUUUAUGAAAAGUGCUUCGCCACCACCAACCUCCACUUAUUCUUCACCUUCUCCUUCAACUUCUCCUCCUUUCUCUUCUUACCCUUCUUGCUUUUACAACAAUAACUCUCCCAUCUCUUCAUAUCCCAACUUGGACCUUAGCUUUUGCUCUCCAACGAGCACCCAGAUGUUUUCUAAUGGGUUCUUGGAUUAUAACCAAAUGGGUUUUGAGCAAACAGGUCCAAUUGGGCUUAACCACCUUACACCUUCACAAAUCCUCCAAAUCCAAGCCAAAAUCCACUUCCAACAACAACAGCAGCAGAAAAUGGAAAAUCUUGCUACCACAUCACAGUGUGUCCAUAACCGAAAGGCUAGUAACUACUUGGCUCCAAAACCUGUCCCUAUGAAACAAUCUGGUGCUUCUCCUCAAAAGCCAACAAAGCUUUAUAGAGGAGUCAGGCAGAGGCAUUGGGGAAAAUGGGUUGCUGAGAUUAGACUUCCAAAGAACAGAACUAGACUCUGGCUUGGCACUUAUGACACAGCUGAAGAGGCAGCUUUGGCUUAUGAUAAUGCUGCUUAUAAGCUGAGAGGAGAAUAUGCUAGGCUUAACUUUCCACAUCUUCGCCACCAGGGAGCUCAUGUGUCUGGUGAAUUUGUUGACUAAAAGCCUCUCCAUUCCUCUGUUGAUGCAAAGUUACAAGCAAUUUGUCAAAGCCUGGGUUUGCAAAAACAGGGGAAAACAAGGGAGCCCAGUUCUGUUGCUAAUUCAAAAAAGACCGCAACAGCUCCUUUGCAAGCAAAAAUUGAAGAUGAUUGUUCUAUGAGAGGUGAAUUGAAAACGGAGUACGAGAAUUUUGGAGUUGAGGACUAUAAGGUGGAGAUCCCAUCACCAUCACCAUCACCAUCACCAGCUUCAUCUGACGAAUCAGUGGCUGGUUCUUCUUCACCAGAAUCUGAGAUUUCUUUCUUGGAUUUUCCCGGUUCUUUACAUUGGGACGAGUUUGAGAAUUUUGGUUUGGAGAAGUACCCUUCAGUUGAGAUUGACUGGUCAUCCAUCUAGGUCUUGAAUUAUUACCAUGUAAUCUUUUGUUUUUAGGUUUAUUUUGGUGUCUUUCAGUAGCUUCUGCAAUGAAGUUUUUGGCAUUUGCAGAAGUGGUGUUAAGGGGUCAGUCAGUUUUAGAUUCUAAGUUCUAUUAACUAUGCUGUCGAUAUGUACAGUAGGUCGCUCUCUAUCUUUGGUCUAGCUGGUACUUUUUUUCCUUGCUUGACCAUGGAUGAGUUUCCAUGUUUGGUCUGUAUUUUUAGGUCAGGUGUAAUUAAGCAUCAGUCUACGAAUAUAUCAAUCUAGUCCAACUUUUCUCCAUGGGUUCGAAUAUGGUGAGCAUGCAAUGAUGUUUUGUGAUGUCAAUUUUUCCAUGCAAA